GGGAAACGAUGUGGGAAGGCACAGACAGCCAGGAUGUUGGCUUAGAAGCAGCCAUCAUUUAAAGAAAGCGUAAUAGCUCACUGGUCGAGUCGGCCUGCGCGGAAGAUGUAACGGGGCUAAACCAUGCACCGAAGCUGCGGCAGCGACGUUUAUGCGUUGUUGGGUAGGGGAGCGUUCUGUAAGCCUGCGAAGGUGGCCUGUGAGGCAUGCUGGAGGUAUCAGAAGUGCGAAUGCUGACAUAAGUAACGAUAAAGCGGGUGAAAAGCCCGCUCGCCGGAAGACCAAGGGUUCCUGUCCAACGUUAAUCGGGGCAGGGUGAGUCGACCCCUAAGGCGAGGCCGAAAGGCGUAGUCGAUGGGAAACGGGUUAAUAUUCCCGUACUUGGUGUUACUGCGAAGGGGGGACGGAGAAGGCUAUGUUGGCCGGGCGACGGUUGUCCCGGUUUAAGCGUGUAGGCUGGUUUUCCAGGCAAAUCCGGAAAAUCAAGGCUGAGGCGUGACGACGAGGCACUACGGUGCUGAAGCAACAAAUGCCCUGCUUCCAGGAAAAGCCUCUAAGCAUCAGGUAACAUCAAAUCGUACCCCAAACCGACACAGGUGGUCAGGUAGAGAAUACCAAGGCGCUUGAGAGAACUCGGGUGAAGGAACUAGGCAAAAUGGUGCCGUAACUUCGGGAGAAGGCACGCUGACACGUAGGUGAAGUGAUUUACUCAUGGAGCUGAAGUCAGUCGAAGAUACCAGCUGGCUGCAACUGUUUAUUAAAAACACAGCACUGUGCAAACACGAAAGUGGACGUAUACGGUGUGACGCCUGCCCGGUGCCGGAAGGUUAAUUGAUGGGGUCAGCGCAAGCGAAGCUCCUGAUCGAAGCCCCGGUAAACGGCGGCCGUAACUAUAACGGUCCUAAGGUAGCGAAAUUCCUUGUCGGGUAAGUUCCGACCUGCACGAAUGGCGUAAUGAUGGCCAGGCUGUCUCCACCCGAGACUCAGUGAAAUUGAACUCGCUGUGAAGAUGCAGUGUACCCGCGGCAAGACGGAAAGACCCCGUGAACCUUUACUAUAGCUUGACACUGAACAUUGAGCCUUGAUGUGUAGGAUAGGUGGGAGGCUUUGAAGCGUGGACGCCAGUCUGCGUGGAGCCGACCUUGAAAUACCACCCUUUAAUGUUUGAUGUUCUAACGUGGACCCGUAAUCCGGGUUGCGGACAGUGUCUGGUGGGUAGUUUGACUGGGGCGGUCUCCUCCUAAAGAGUAACGGAGGAGCACGAAGGUUGGCUAAUCCUGGUCGGACAUCAGGAGGUUAGUGCAAUGGCAUAAGCCAGCUUGACUGCGAGCGUGACGGCGCGAGCAGGUGCGAAAGCAGGUCAUAGUGAUCCGGUGGUUCUGAAUGGAAGGGCCAUCGCUCAACGGAUAAAAGGUACUCCGGGGAUAACAGGCUGAUACCGCCCAAGAGUUCAUAUCGACGGCGGUGUUUGGCACCUCGAUGUCGGCUCAUCACAUCCUGGGGCUGAAGUAGGUCCCAAGGGUAUGGCUGUUCGCCAUUUAAAGUGGUACGCGAGCUGGGUUUAGAACGUCGUGAGACAGUUCGGUCCCUAUCUGCCGUGGGCGCUGGAGAACUGAGGGGGGCUGCUCCUAGUACGAGAGGACCGGAGUGGACGCAUCACUGGUGUUCGGGUUGUCAUGCCAAUGGCACUGCCCGGUAGCUAAAUGCGGAAGAGAUAAGUGCUGAAAGCAUCUAAGCACGAAACUUGCCCCGAGAUGAGUUCUCCCUGAGACUUAGAGUCUCCUGAAGGAACGUUGAAGACGACGACGUUGAUAGGCCGGGUGUGUAAGCGCAGCGAUGCGUUGAGCUAACCGGUACUAAUGAACCGUGAGGCUUAACCUUACAACGCCGAAG
RNAcentral lists this ribosomal RNA (1893 nucleotides) under Salmonella enterica subsp. enterica serovar Bareilly str. CFSAN000752. RNAcentral's name for it is "bacterial LSU rRNA". It matches the Rfam family "Bacterial large subunit ribosomal RNA", at positions 1065 to 2925 of the family's 2925-position model. Lineage: Bacteria; Pseudomonadati; Pseudomonadota; Gammaproteobacteria; Enterobacterales; Enterobacteriaceae. The record is from RNAcentral.